AUUGAACGCUGGCGGCAUGCCUUACACAUGCAAGUCGAACGGCAGCACGGGUGGUUGCACCUGGUGGCGUGUGGCGAACGGGUGAGUAUUACAUCUGGACAAGUCCUGUAUUGGGGGGGAGCCAGUCGAAAGCAGGAGUGAUACCGCAUACGAACAUUGGAAGAAAGCGGGGGACCAUCGGAACGCGGGCCAUAGGGUUGGCCGAUGGUGGAUUAGCUAGUUGGUGGGGUAAAGGCCUACCAAGGCGACGAUCAGUAGCUGGUCUGAGAGGACGACCAGCCACACUGGGACUGAGACACGGCCCAGACUCCUACGGGAGGCAGCAGUGGGGAAUUUUGGACAAUGGGCGAAAGCCUGAUCCAGCAAUGCCGCGUGUGUGAAGAAGGCCUUCGGGUUGUAAAGCACUUUUGUCCGGAAAGAAAUCCUUGGCCCUAAUACGGUCGGGGGAUGACGGUACCGGAAGAAUAAGCACCGGCUAACUACGUG
This 486-nucleotide ribosomal RNA is filed under the name uncultured bacterium. Its description in RNAcentral is "partial 16S ribosomal RNA". It matches the Rfam family "Bacterial small subunit ribosomal RNA", at positions 29 to 507 of the family's 1533-position model. The record is from RNAcentral.